RNAcentral lists this non-coding RNA (28 nucleotides) under Bombyx mori (domestic silkworm). Lineage: Eukaryota; Metazoa; Arthropoda; Insecta; Lepidoptera; Bombycidae. The record is from RNAcentral.
UACUAUAGUUUUCCAAGUCCAUGUGCCC